This 495-nucleotide ribosomal RNA is filed under the name uncultured bacterium. Its description in RNAcentral is "partial 16S ribosomal RNA". It matches the Rfam family "Bacterial small subunit ribosomal RNA", at positions 28 to 507 of the family's 1533-position model. The record is from RNAcentral.
GACGAACGCUGGCGGCGUGCCUAAUACAUGCAAGUAGAACGCUGAAGGAGGAGCUUGCUUCUCUGGAUGAGUUGCGAACGGGUGAGUAACGCGUAGGUAACCUGCCUGGUAGCGGGGGAUAACUAUUGGAAACGAUAGCUAAUACCGCAUAAGAGUAGAUGUUGCAUGACAUUUGCUUAAAAGGUGCAAUUGCAUCACUACCAGAUGGACCUGCGUUGUAUUAGCUAGUUGGUGGGGUAACGGCUUACCAAGGCGACGAUACAUAGCCGACCUGAGAGGGUGGUCGGCCACACUGGGACUGGGACACGGCCCAGACUCCUACGGGAGGCAGCAGUAGGGAAUCUUCGGCAAUGGACGGAAGGCUGACCGGGCAACGCCGCGUGAGUGAAGAAGGUUUUCGGAUCGUAAAGCUCUGUUGUAAGAGAAGAACGAGUGUGAGAGUGGAAAGUUCACACGGUGACGGUAUCUUACCAGAAAGGGACGGCUAACUACGUG